CUUCCUAUAGCUCAAUGGUUAGAGCAUGAUACUGUUAAUAUCAGGAUAGAUGUUCGAAUCACCUUGGGAAGG
This 72-nucleotide transfer RNA is filed under the name Esteya vermicola. RNAcentral describes it as "tRNA-Asn". It matches the Rfam family "tRNA". Rfam says of the family: Transfer RNA (tRNA) molecules are approximately 80 nucleotides in length. Their secondary structure includes four short double-helical elements and three loops (D, anti-codon, and T loops). The record is from RNAcentral. Lineage: Eukaryota; Fungi; Ascomycota; Sordariomycetes; Ophiostomatales; Ophiostomataceae.